Molecule: long non-coding RNA, 276 nt
Filed under: Vigna radiata
Lineage: Eukaryota; Viridiplantae; Streptophyta; Magnoliopsida; Fabales; Fabaceae
Description: long non-coding RNA (VRAD_LNC016499)
Source: RNAcentral
GGGACGUACGUGGAAGUCAUGAACUGAUAGGAAAUUCCUUGAUUAAGCAAUACCACCUAGGGAUAGGGGUAGGACGAUCAAUUGUAUUUUGCUUCUGUAUAUAAUGCAUUGCUAAUUACUAGGGGAGACUAGGGAUAGUAAGCCAGUAACUAGUAAUAGGCUCUUUUCGCCAAGGGAUCGGGUUUAGGGUAGACUAAGAAAGUUUGCAUGACAAUUAGAUAAUAAAGCAAAUUUAAUAAGAAGAGUAGAUAUAAGAAGGUGGAUAAGAUGAAAUUG